This 414-nucleotide unclassified non-coding RNA is filed under the name Hevea brasiliensis (rubber tree). Lineage: Eukaryota; Viridiplantae; Streptophyta; Magnoliopsida; Malpighiales; Euphorbiaceae. The record is from RNAcentral.
GUGGUGAUGUGUGCUUGGAAUCAAUCAAAUGAGAACAAAUAAGAAAAUACUUGAAAGAUGGAAGAAUUUUAGAAGAAGACAAGGAUACAAGAAUCAACAAUUAACGAGAAGUACUUGAACCAGAUACAAACGCCAACAGCACCACCAAUACAACAUUGAAACCAAAGAGACGCACCCAACUUUCAACCUUCUCUCAUCACAUAAACCAAGAGGGAAAACCAAAAAAGAAAUCUGAAUUCUUAAAAUUCUGUAGAGGGAAGCUGUUCAUGUGUACUUGGGCUAAUGAAGAAGACUUCAUAAACAACAGCAGCGAUGCCAGCCCCGAGGAAUGGACCGAGCCAGUAGACCCAGUGGUUGUCCCAUGUCCAGCUGACUACUGCUGGUCCGAAGGAGACUGCUGGGUUCAUGGAUGCA